Molecule: long non-coding RNA, 2724 nt
Filed under: Homo sapiens (human)
Lineage: Eukaryota; Metazoa; Chordata; Mammalia; Primates; Hominidae
Description: HSALNT0311979
Source: RNAcentral
CUGCCCCACUUCCUGGGGCCCAGAAGAGCCUGCCUAUCUGAUAAGCUCUGGGGAGUGCCCACUUCAUGGCCUGCUGCUCCUGGCAGUCUUUAACUGGUUUCUUCUGGAGAUGGUGCAGGGGCUGCAUGGUGGGCACACGGGACAGCAUGCCUGUGGGGGCGCCAUGAGAAGGGGAGGGCCUGAACCCCCAGGGUGGGCUAAGGUGCAGGUAGAAGGCCAGGGGAGAGUCCUGCAAGAGCUACUCCUGGCCGACUCAGACCCUCUUGCCCUUCUUAUCGGGCCUGAGGAGCGAUAAGGGGCCAGUUCCUGGACUGUGGGUUCUAGGCCUUUGUUUGGGACCGCCAGGAAGUGACUUGGUUUUGCUGUGGCUUAAGCAGUGUGGUUGAUUCACCAGGGUGGGGGGCUGGGUGUGCCUGGGGGAGCCCCCAAACACCAGGCCCUGCACCACCCAUCACCGACAGGCCAGCCGCUGGGAGGCCACCGUGGGAGUGUGUCCAGCCUCCACAUCCGCCUCCUGACAGCUGGCCACAGAGGGAGGAUUCCUCACCCCAGGGCGUCUCCUCUUUCUUUACUUUUCAAGCAGAAAACACUUCCAGAAUAUAUUAUUCCCCAAAUGUGCGAGACACUAGAAUGAGUGCUUUGCCUACACCAUCUCCUUUCAUCUUCACCCCAGUAACAACGGCCCUCAGGGCUCAUCGUGGGUGUUAUUCACUGUCCACAUUUUGCAGAAGAGGAAACUGAGACUCAGAGAGAGGAAGUAAAUUGCUCAGGUUCACUCAGCUAGGAAGCAACAGAUCAGGAUUCGAGCCCAGUCCAAAAUCAUAAUUCACUCCCUUGAAAAGCCAAAAGAGAGAGAGAACAGGGCCAGACGGGGUGGCGUCAGGAGGGUUGUGGGUCCCCUGGCUGCUGUGCAGAGCUUACAUCGGGCGCUCAAAGGAGCCCGAGCCAACCACUGCCCAAGAGAUUCUACCAAGAUGAAAAUGGUUCCUCCCCAGCCACAGUUCCAUCACCUGCGUGAUGGGACGAGAGACUGGAUCAGGUGUUCUCCACAGCCGGUUAUGAAGUGAUCCCAGGCCUGGGUCUCCUGAUGAGUCCAUCUGACUUCCACUCUCCAGCACCCCCAGGGUUUACUGCUUCCAUCCUGCUGACAGCCAUAUGCUCUUCUCUGGCUGAUUCAAGACAAAAGAAGAUAGGAUGACAAAGCAGAAGACCAGAGAGAAAGAGAUUUGAAGAUGCUACCCUGCUGGCUUUGGAGAUGGAAGCAAGGGCCAUGAGCCAAGAGGUGUAUGUGGCUUUUGGAAGCAGCCACAGCAAAUUAACACAACCACGGAGCCAGUCCCCACAGCCUGGUCAGGUGCAGCAUGAUUCCAGACAACAGCAAUGAGGAAGCCAGCCUUGUGGAGCUGAUGCCUGGCAGAGAACAUCACUAAGCAACAGGCAUCCUGAGUGCUUGGGUUUGAGGCCCAGCCUUGCUAUCUCCCAGCUGUGUGAUUUGGACCAAGUAACUCGAUCUCACCUCACCUGCCUGAUGAGAUAACAGGAUUUUGUGAGGUUUAUAUGUAUCUUUGGCUCUUGGAACAAUGUCUGGCACAGAGUAAUUUACAAGGGCUCAGUAAAUCUGUCAUUUAUGGCCUCCCCAUGUCAGCAGCUAGGUGGCUGGCCACAGCCCUCGUGGUGGAGUGAGGCUGGGAUCUGGGGCUGGCCAAUGAGAGGCCCAAGUCUCCUUGACUGGGGGAUCAGCCAUGGUCACCAGAACCAACUCACAUCAGCCCUGGACUUUGGCUGGAAGUUCUGGGAAAGAGGUGCUCUCUCCCUGUUGGGAUCUUGUUGGGAUUCUCGAGGAGCUCGGCCUGGAGAAGAUGGCGGGCAUUUUUGUCACCACGAGGGGACAGCCUGCCUGAGAAGGAAGCCAACAGGAAGGAAGGUGGAGACCAGGAUGGAGCAGGGCAGCUCUUGAUGACGUCACCAAGGCCCUAGAUCCAGACUUGCCUGAACCACCCCUUGGACUGUCUGGUUCCAGGAACCAAUCACUACCCCUUUUUGCUUUAGGAGUUUUAUCUGGGUUUCUGCCACUCACAACCAGGAGAGUCCUGACUGAUAGACAGGGACUCAAUGAACACAUGUUGAUUGAGUGACUGAGUGAGCAUUCAGGGCUCUGGCACUGUCCUGAGCCCAGUAAAUUUUGGGAUGAUUGUGUGGUAAGUGUCUCGCCUUCCUGUAGGACCAUAGGGACUUGCAGGGGAUUCUUCAUUUGACUUGGGAAGAUGCCUUCUUCGUCCUCCCUGCUUGCAGGGCUUGGCAUCGAAGUCUAGGUUCCUUCAAGAGAAGGCGGAGGUACUGUGCACCUGGCCCAGGAGGCCAAAUCCCUGUUUUCUUCUCUCUGACCCAAAUUUCCCCAAACAGCGAGGUCUCAGCUCCACUUGGAGAGGGGAGAUGGGAAAGAGGCUGGCUGCUAGAGUCCAAAGCAACAGCCCAGGAAAUAAGGGCCUUUAUUAGUCCCAUUUUACAGAUGAAGACACUGAGGCCAGAGAGCCGAAGUUAUCUGUCUUCAAACCCAGGGCCCACCAAACAGAACUCAACUCUAUCCUUGCUUCCAAACCACUGCUUCCUCCUCCUUAGCCAUUUUCCAUCUGGUGUUGGCGUUUUUUUUCCUGGCUUUCUUGCCCUGUCAUAUUUGGAUACUCUGUUUUUGUUUGUUUGUUUGUUUUUUGUUUUUUGAGAUAG